AUUGAACGCUGGCGGCAGGCCUAACACAUGCAAGUCGAACGAGUGGCGGACGGGUGAGUAAUGUCUGGGAAACUGCCCGAUGGAGGGGGAUAACUACUGGAAACGGUAGCUAAUACCGCAUACCAUAGGAUGUGCCCAGAUGGGAUUAGCUUGUAGGUGAGGUAACGGCUCACCUAGGCGUCGAUCCCUAGCUGGUCUGAGAGGAUGACCAGACAAACUGGCAAGGAGACACGGUCCAGACGCUGACGGGGGGCAGCAGUGGGGAAGAUUGCACUAUGGGUGAAAGGCUGCUGCAGACAUGUGGCUUGUAUGAAAAGGGCAUUCGGGUUGUAAAGUAUUUUCAGCGGGGGGGCGUUACCCGCAGAAGAAGCACCGGUUAACUCCGUGCCAGCAGACGCGGUAAUAC
RNAcentral lists this ribosomal RNA (406 nucleotides) under uncultured bacterium. Its description in RNAcentral is "partial 16S ribosomal RNA". It matches the Rfam family "Bacterial small subunit ribosomal RNA", at positions 30 to 526 of the family's 1533-position model. The record is from RNAcentral.